GAGAGAGGAUUGAAACAGCAAGGAGUGCUAAUCCUAGUAACCGGGGUUAAAUUCCCCGGCUCACUCG
Molecule: transfer RNA, 67 nt
Filed under: Synodus poeyi (offshore lizardfish)
Lineage: Eukaryota; Metazoa; Chordata; Actinopteri; Aulopiformes; Synodontidae
Description: tRNA-Ser
Source: RNAcentral